This 969-nucleotide long non-coding RNA is filed under the name Olea europaea (common olive). Its description in RNAcentral is "long non-coding RNA (OEUR_LNC001539)". The record is from RNAcentral. Lineage: Eukaryota; Viridiplantae; Streptophyta; Magnoliopsida; Lamiales; Oleaceae.
AAAUGAACAACUAUCCAGCAUUGCUUCAAGUGAAAUAAUGGCCGAAAAUUGGGUACGCGAAAAUGUUCUUGCGUACUACCCCAACACGAAGAUCAGAUUCAUACUUGUUGGAAAUGAAAUUUUUACCUACAAUGAUCAGAAAAUGUGGCUUGAUCUUGUACCAGCCAUGAGCCUAAUCGAGAAAUCAGUGGCUGCACAUAACAUUCAUAACAUAAAAGUGGGGACUCCACUGGCUAUGGACGUAAUGGAUUCGACUUUUCCACCCUCAAGUGGGAAAUUCAGUUCUAGAAUUCCGGAGAAGGUGAUGGUAUCGUUGCUCGAAUUCUUGAAUUCGACUCGAUCAUUCUUUUUCAUAGAUGCGUACACUUAUUAUCCAUGGUCAUUGGAUCCAUCGAAUUUGGACUUAGAUUAUGCAUUACUUAAGGGCGGAAAUCUAACUUAUAAGGAUCCAGUAAGUGGCUUGAUUUACACAAAUCUUCUCGAUCAGAUGCUUGAUUCUAUCAUCUUUGCCAUGCGGAAACUAGGGUUUCCAAACAUCAAGUUGGAUUUCCUGUGGCAGAUGCAUUUCUGUCAAGAAGAAUUGGCAUAAAUUAUGGUCAAUUGGGAAGCGAUUUGCCAUCUCCAUUUCAAUCAAUCGAAUAUCUCAAGUCGAUGAAAGCCGGUAUGGUGAAGCUCUAUGAUGCCAAUCCUGAAACUCUAAAGCUUUUAUCAGGAACAGAUCUUCAUGUCUCAAUAAUGGUGAAAAAUGAACAACUAUCCAGCAUUGCUUCAAGUGAAAUAAUGGCCGAAAAUUGGGUACGCGAAAAUGUUCUUGCGUACUACCCCAACACGAAGAUCAGAUUCAUACUUGUUGGAAAUGAAAUUUUUACCUACAAUGAUCAGAAAAUGUGGCUUGAUCUUGUACCAGCCAUGAGCCUAAUCGAGAAAUCAGUGGCUGCACAUAACAUUCAUAACAUAAAAGUGGGGACU